AUACUAUUAUAUGUAUAUACUACUUAUAUUACUUUCAAAUUUCGCGCUUUUUCUAUACCUAACCUACAAGACGCAAAGUUGCCAAGCGUUGUGCUAAGUAAUUUCUGAUUGUCAAAAUACGGUGUUUUUUUUAGACAAAAUAAUUAAUUGUGAGUCUCCUAAGCCAGGUCUGAUCAAUUUUAUUAAAAACAUUCAUUCUGGUUUUCCCGCAGACCUUGCUCAUAAUAUGUGCGAGACCUCAUCCUCCUGUCAUCGCAAGAAUCGAAGGAAGUGUAUAGGGAAAUAAAAAAAAAUCGAGGGAUGUACAUACACAACAAGGAGAAUGAAAGAGGAAAAAGAGGGGGAUCGGUAUAAAGGAGCUCAUUGCAUUGGCUCUGGAAAGCGGACAAAUUCCAUUCCGGAAGGUAACACCUACGUCGUCAUUGCUUCGUCUCUCAUAGUGGUAGCUGGUUGCAUUUCUACGGGCACAACAGUCCUCAUUGACCAGUGAGGAAACUAGAAACUUGGCAAAAACUAACCCAAUAUCUUGCCUAUACGCGUAUAUACCCCACCCCUUUCCAUAAAGUUUAAUACCAGGAAUUCCCACUGAUGAUCAUACCUUUCAUCCUCACAUUCUUUGUUCACAUAAAUUCUUACUAGGUGUUUAACUUUUAUCAUCAAAAAUCAUUCAUUUACCUUUUUGGUAUUUCAUAAUACAGCAUUCUUCGAAAUAUAAUUUAGAAAAACGA
Long non-coding RNA from Leptopilina boulardi, 728 nucleotides. RefSeq lists it as uncharacterized. The record is from RefSeq and is a predicted model, not a curated record. The transcript has 2 exons. NCBI's taxonomy places the organism in Eukaryota, Metazoa, Arthropoda, Insecta, Hymenoptera, Figitidae.